CCGCCUGAUGGGGACGGAGCGGCCGCGGCUCCGCCGCGCCGGGCACGGUGCGCGCUGCGCCCUGCGCCCGCCCGAGCCUGGGGGAGGCGCCGGGGCGGGGAGCGGCGGCCAAACCGGAGCCGCCCGGCCAGGGGCGCGCAGCCAGGAGGGAGGGAAAGGUGCUGCAGGAUGAGAUCCAGGCCCAGAGCUGCUCUUUUCCAAGGAUUUGGGAUUUCCAAACUGUUCCCAUCAGCCGGAGCAGAACUCAGGUCAGGAUGGAGAUGAAGUCUCAGCUGUGAGCAUGGAAAAAUUCCAGGAAUAUGGAUAAAACCAGCAGGAAUUAUGUUGGGAAGGGGACGGGAAAAGCUGGAUCCAGCUCCAGGUGUGUCCAGAGGUGGCUCCUGGGCUGAAUCUUCGGGAACUUCUCAUGGAAUUUCUGCUCCUGCUGCUGCUGAGAACCUCUGGAAAAGGACUUUUCUCCUGGAAAAAGGAUUGCUGGGACGAGCUGGGAUUUCAAAGGAAUUUCUGGGAGUCCAGAGCUGCUUUUUCCUUUGUUUUUUUUUCCAAGGAAAAAUGCGGAUUUUGAUUGUUUGAAGGUGCAGAAAAUUCCAUUUUCUGUCGUUAUUGAGGGAAUUUAUUCCCAGUUCCAAGCCAACAUUCCAUGUUUAAAGCUGCUCCUGUCAGUGUUUGUAUUCCGAGAGUUUGGGAAUUUAAAAAAAAUGGGAAUUGUAAUAUUGGGAAUAAAUCUGAAGGGUUAUUUUUCCAUAUUUAACUUUCCUUCUGUGAUUUUUUUUCAUUCCUGGUGGUUUUUGUCCUGCUUUGUUUUUAUAGGAAUUUUGAAUCCGUGGGGUUGGUUUUUAAUGGGAAUUGUUGGGAUUUUUUCCUUGUUUGUUUUUAUCAGGAAUUUGGAAUUUAUGGGAUUGGGUUUUAGCAGGAAUUUGAGUUUUUUUCCUUGCUUUUAACAGGAAUUUGUGGGAUUUUUCCUGGUUAUUUUUAAGAGGGAUUUUGAGUUUGUGGGAUUUGUUUUUUACCAGGAAUUUUUAAUGGAAUUCCUGGGAUUUUUCCUUGUUUAUUUUGACAUGAACUUUGAAAUUAUUUGGAUAUGUUUUUAAGGGGAAUUUUGAAUGGAAUUUGUCCUGUCCAUUUUUACCAGGAAUUCUGAAUUUGUGGAAUUUUUCCUCCUCCUUUUUAACCAGGAAUUUUCAGUUUGGGGCAUUUUUCCUUGUUUAAGAGGAAUUUUGAAUGUGUGGGAUUGGGAUUUUUUUUUUGCAGGAAUUUGAGGUUUUUUCCUUGGCCAUUUUAACAGGAACUUUGAAUUGAUGGGAUUUAUUUUUACCAGGAAUUUUUGGGAUUUUUCCUUGUUUAUUUUCCUGGGAACUUUGAAUUUUUGGGGUUGGUUUUUAGCAGGAAUUUUUAAUGAAAUUUGUGGGAUUUUCCCUUGUUUUUUCCCCACAGGAAAUUGCAGUUUUUCCCUUUCUUUUCCCAGGAUUCCCUCCCAAAUUCCAGAGGAAUCCUCCAGUUCCUGCCCCGCAUUCCUGGGGUGAAUUCCCGUGGAAAAUCCCUGGGAAUUGUUUGUUCAUCCCUUGAAUGUCCCUUUGUUUUCCCACACAAAGAAUUCCUUCUUUUUCUCGGGAACAACUCCCAGCUCUGCACAGCUGGGAAUGGAAAAAUUCCCAGAAUUCCCCAAAUACCCACCCUCAGCAUUCCCAGCUGGGGAACUUUGGGAUCAAACAAAUCCCUGGGAUCCAGGAAUUCCAUGGGAUCCCCCAAGGAUUUCCAAUUUGUGGUUCAACCCCUUAAAAUCAGAAUUUUUGCAGCAUUCCAGGGAAAAAAGUGGGGAAAUCUGACAAAAAAUGAUGAAAAGCUGAUUUGAAGGUGAAAAAUGAGGAAGAAAACUCUGGGAUGGCUCCAGAAUUCCCUAAAAUUAGUUGGAAAAUGUUAUUCCCAUUUUUGAAAUAUUAUUAUUAAAUUUAUUUUCUGUUUUGUUGAAAAA
Passer montanus (Eurasian tree sparrow) is the source of this 1972-nucleotide long non-coding RNA. RefSeq lists it as uncharacterized. Lineage: Eukaryota; Metazoa; Chordata; Aves; Passeriformes; Passeridae. The record is from RefSeq and is a predicted model, not a curated record. The transcript is spliced from 4 exons.